GUAGGUUAUUGCCAGGGUUUUUAUUUUUAUACUUUAAACUUUGAUUUUAUUUUUAUGUUUUUUAAAUAUUGGUGUUUUUGAAUGUGUUGUUUAAAUAACAUAAAAAAUAAAAUAUAUAUUGACAUGUAUUAAACAAAGAUAUAUAUUAUUUUAUGUUGUAUAAAUAAAUUGGCAAAAUAGAGAUGGAAGAUAAAAAUAUGGUCAAAGUAAUAAGAGUCUAUGGUGAAUGCCUAGGA
This 236-nucleotide unclassified non-coding RNA is filed under the name Borreliella burgdorferi (Lyme disease spirochete). RNAcentral's name for it is "5S-23S ribosomal RNA intergenic spacer". Lineage: Bacteria; Pseudomonadati; Spirochaetota; Spirochaetia; Spirochaetales; Borreliaceae. The record is from RNAcentral.